CCAGAAAGCGCUCGACAAGUAUUUGGUAGUAAACAGGUGGGUAACUUGGGCCAGUUCCUAUAUAUGACGAAAAUUUGGUUACUAUAACGGCCCUAAAUACAGAGGUAACCAAUUCAUGCUCAGAGCAUGAUGUUGGGGAUGAGAUCACCCUAAUAUGUGGAAAGACAUGGCUCUAAGAAGAACUUUAUGUAGGUCUACACUGCCUGAACGUUUCUAAUCAGAAUUGCUUUUGAGUAUAAUAUUCAAUUAUACCAUGUUUAUUUUUUAGGGAAUAUACCUUGGGAAAUAUUGGUCAAGGAAGUGAAAAUAACUGUUAUCUCUCACACACAAAGGCAGUCAAUGACGCUAGAAAUUCAAAGACUCAGUGAAUACGGUAUCUAUCCACUCCUGACGAGAGGAGUAUAGAAGUAUCGUCCAAGCGAGGCAGAAUUAAUGUAAAUGGCACUAGGAAAGGUAUUCCCCAGACAGAGGGUGCAGGGAUGUCCUUUCCUACAGACUCUGGUCAAAGCUGAAACGCAAACGUGUUCCUCAUGAGUGGGGAUCUCAUAUUCUGGAAGAGGUCUCGUACCUGCAUCCAGACAGUCCUUUGGAAAAGUUCCUGCUACUUCCCUCCCAUCUCCAGGCAGGGCUUGUCAUCAAAUGCACGUGUACAACUAAAUCUGCUCAGUAUAAUUAAACUGAACAAAUCAAAUCCCUCUAUGCCUAGGAAAAAGACUAGAAAGAAAUACAUUAAAAUAUUAAUGCAGCUAUACUGCA
Molecule: long non-coding RNA, 756 nt
Filed under: Pan troglodytes (chimpanzee)
Lineage: Eukaryota; Metazoa; Chordata; Mammalia; Primates; Hominidae
Description: long non-coding RNA NONPTRT007837
Source: RNAcentral